Long non-coding RNA from Stylophora pistillata, 1234 nucleotides. NCBI's taxonomy places the organism in Eukaryota, Metazoa, Cnidaria, Anthozoa, Scleractinia, Pocilloporidae. The record is from RefSeq and is a predicted model, not a curated record.
AUAAUCGGGGAGAAGUCUGGAGUCUAUUCCUAACGGCGAGAAGGGCCUAACUAAAUUUCACAUUCAUCCAUUAAUUACCCAAACAUUGGGAAAGCUUUAUCGGUUGCGCUAUUUGUGGAAGCAUUGAGGGGAUAAAAGACUUUUUACCAUAUAAACUAGUCAUAGCCUAUUGUCGUAUGUUCAAAAAAAGCAAUUUGCAAACCAUUUAUCGUGUGGUUACUUUCAGAAAAGCCUAUACCACAGGAAAUCAAUCCGUUGUCAAGUUUUGAGUUUGACGAGUUUUCAAGUAAUGAUUUUGAUGACCAAGAGCUUUGUAAGUUGUUAUCUGAAUGCGAGCAGAGGCUAAAUGAUUCUAAGAAUGAUGAAAUGGAAAAAAUGCUGAAUACAAACGAGAACAACACGAACGAAGAUUGUGUCCCAAGAAAUAAACAAGAUGUAACGCAAUUUGACAAUAGUGGUUGUGUUACGCAACCUAAAGUUGGUUGAUUGUGACUUCGGUAAUGACUUGGACGAUGCAUUACUGCUUGAGCUUCAGAUUCCACAUCACAGUUGUGAUAGCGAGGGUGCAGUUUCACAUACAAGAAGCCUUAGGGAUCACAAGAAGCAUUCGUGACAAUCUUGUCACGAUAAUGAGAAUUACACGAACGAAAUAUGGAAGUUAUCAGACGAGAGAAGCAACAAAACCAAAAUAAAUAAAACGGCUAGAAUUGACCUCUCACCAAAUUAUGCGAUUUGGCAGGAUGAAACAGAAGCCAGGAUGAGUGAAAAGUAUAUGUGUGGUGGGGUAUUACUUGAGGAUUAUUGCGAUCAUAAUGCAAGGGAAAAAUUUUAUCAAAAGGGGAAGUUUCUGAGUGGUUGGAUGAAGAAUCUCUUGGUGAUUUAGAGUUGUCCAUGGCUGCGGAGGAGGCCGAAAGUACGGCUUUACUCAAAUUUAACCUACUAGUUUAGCACACUUUUUUUUUUAAUGUGAUAACUCUCUUUACCAGGAAAAGCCUCAAAGAUAGUGUAAAUUAUUUGUUAAGUUCAAUUCGAUGUUGUCCUGUACAGCCCUGAAUUCAAAGUCAGUUUCGAGAAGUGUUUUCUAACUACAUAAAUGAGUGGUAAACGUUUUAGCGCUGAGAUAUCUGUGUUCUCAAAUAUGUGAUCAGCUGGUUUUAACGGAAAAGAAAGUUUUGAAAAAGAGAGGCUUUCAAAAGAAGCUGUAAGAACCUAAUUAAAAAACUUUAAAAAAGAA